Molecule: small nuclear RNA, 126 nt
Filed under: Pteropus alecto (black flying fox)
Lineage: Eukaryota; Metazoa; Chordata; Mammalia; Chiroptera; Pteropodidae
Description: U2 spliceosomal RNA
Rfam family: U2 spliceosomal RNA
About the family: U2 is a small nuclear RNA (snRNA) component of the spliceosome (involved in pre-mRNA splicing).
Source: Rfam by way of RNAcentral
GUUGCUUCUUGGCCUUUUGGUUAAGGUCAAGUGUAGUAGCUGUUCUUAUCAGUUUGGUAUCUAUAUGUUCUCUAUCUGUGGAUGAUAUAUUAAAUGAAUUUUUGAAGCAGGAAAGGUGCACCCCCU